CAGAACGAACGCUGGCGGCAGGCUUAACACAUGCAAGUCGAACGCCCCGCAAGGGGAGUGGCAGACGGGUGAGUAACGCGUGGGAACCUACCCAAAGGUACGGAACAACCAAGGGAAACUUUGGCUAAUACCGUAUACGCCCUACGGGGGAAAGAUUUAUCGCCUUUGGACGGGCCCGCGUUGGAUUAGCUAGUUGGUGGGGUAAUGGCCUACCAAGGCGACGAUCCAUAGCUGGUCUGAGAGGAUGAUCAGCCACACUGGGACUGAGACACGGCCCAGACUCCUACGGGAGGCAGCAGUGGGGAAUCUUGGACAAUGGGGGAAACCCUUGAUCCAGCCAUGCCGCGUGAGUGAAGAAGGCCUUAGGGUUGUAAAGCUCUUUCGGCGGGGACGAUAAUGACGGUACCCGCAGAAGAAGCCCCGGCUAACUCCGUGCCAGCCGCUGC
Molecule: ribosomal RNA, 446 nt
Filed under: uncultured bacterium
Lineage: Bacteria
Description: bacterial SSU rRNA
Rfam family: Bacterial small subunit ribosomal RNA
Source: RNAcentral